This 295-nucleotide unclassified non-coding RNA is filed under the name Hevea brasiliensis (rubber tree). Lineage: Eukaryota; Viridiplantae; Streptophyta; Magnoliopsida; Malpighiales; Euphorbiaceae. The record is from RNAcentral.
UUUGAGGUGGUUCUUUUGGAAUCACGAGAUAGAGUUGGUGGUCGAGUAUACACUAAUUUCUCGUUCGGUUUUCCAGUUGACAUGGGUGCAUCGUGGUUACAUGGCGUCUGCAAAGAAAAUCCUUUGGCACCCUUGAUAGGAAGAUUGGGUCUUCCACUCUACCGCACCAGCGGUGACGAUUCAGUGUUGUUUGACCAUGAUUUGGAGAGCUACGCACUCUUCGAUACAGAUGGUCAUCAAGUCCCACAAGAACUCGUCCAAAAGAUUGGGGUGGUGUUUGAAGAUAUAUUAAAGG